Molecule: ribosomal RNA, 220 nt
Filed under: uncultured bacterium
Lineage: Bacteria
Description: partial 16S ribosomal RNA
Rfam family: Bacterial small subunit ribosomal RNA
Source: RNAcentral
UAAUGUAUGGGGAUCUGCCUGAUGGCGGGGGGUAACUACUGGAAACGGUAGCUAAUACCGCAUAAUGUCUGCGGACCAAAGCGGGGGACCUCCGGGCCUCGCGCCAUCAGAUGAACCCAUAUGGGAUUAGCUAGUAGGUGGGGUAACGGCUCACCUAGGCGACGAUCCCUAGCUGGUCUGAGAGGAUGAUCAGCCACACUGGGACUGAGACACGGCCCAG